CAGUAGCCACGGUAAUACGGAGGGUGCGAGCGUUAAUCGGAAUUACUGGGCGUAAAGCGCACGCAGGCGGUUCGUUAAGUCAGAUGUGAAAUCCCCGAGCUUAACUUGGGAACUGCAUUUGAAACUGGCAAGCUAGAGUCUUGUAGAGGGGGGUAGAAUUCCAGGUGUAGCGGUGAAAUGCGUAGAGAUCUGGAGGAAUACCGGUGGCGAAGGCGGCCCCCUGGACAAAGGCUGACGCUCAGGUGCGAAAGCGUGGGGAGCAAACAGGAUUAGAGACCCCAGUAGUCCCUGUCUCUUAUAC
Molecule: ribosomal RNA, 301 nt
Filed under: uncultured bacterium
Lineage: Bacteria
Description: partial 16S ribosomal RNA
Rfam family: Bacterial small subunit ribosomal RNA
Source: RNAcentral